UGUAGUAUUUUCCGGUGUCGUGUCAGCGUGCUGAAUUUAUCUCAUGGUUUCAAUAGAACUGUGAAAACGUUUUUAUGUAUCUCUUUUGAACAACGAUGUGAGUCUAGAUAACCAGACGAGGUGAAAGUAAUUAGUUCCAUUACUCCGGUCGUUGGUUAUGAUUUCAUUUCCAGCCCUUAUUAGCACAGUAACGUUAAUGACUUGCAUUCAAGUGUAAAUGUUCUCUUAAAACUUCCUAGCUAACGUUACUAUUGUUAGAUUAGCUAAACCCAAACUGAACUUUGACUGAGCAGUAUUUUUUUUGUUUGUUUUUUUGUUGCAGACUUCCAAACGGGAAUUUGUGUAUUAUAUUUGAGAAAAUGGUGUAUUCUUUGUGCAUUACUGUGCAUUACUGUUCAACUAUCUAAUACAUAAUUGUAUGUUCAUUUCUUUGGAAGUAAAUGGCAGAAACUGUUAAGGGAAGGAGCCGUGGACUGAAGUUUGCAGAGCAACAACUACUGUUUCAGUAUGACAUGUUGGAUAAAGGAAUAAAGACAGACACCAAUGUCAGGUUCAAUAACCUUGUUUGUGCAUUGUACAAAUCCCUACACAUGGAGUCCGGGGAACAGUCCGGCUAGUCGAAUACCUAUCAGCUAGACUCCGUAACAACUACUGCGUCGUGGCUGGGUACAAGGUAAAGGUCUUGGUCGGCAGAAGAAUGGCAUGUGAGGCUAGCAUAGUGAAUGUGGCAAGGGAGGGGUGGGACAUCUUCUAGACUGGAAGUGGAAUAUGGAGAGAUAAGUCCUCAAAAGGGAAUGGUGUGCAGGUGAAGAAGUUGGUUGAAGAGGAAGGAAUGAUUUCCAACCAGCAGCCAACGAAAGCCAUGCUGGGAAGAUAAACUUUAUGGAUGCUUUGUGAAGGUACAGAUAAACAAAUCUAACUGGAACACACUUCCAUAUCUGUGCCAAUGAGCUCUCUUGAUAGUACAGCUCUGACGAUGAAGACCAGAGACUGGAACUCUCCAGCACCACCAAGGUUAAAUAAUAAAUGUUAUUUCCCUUUGACGCUGACCUGGUGAAGGCUUGUGGAGGACGCACCGCUCACAAAGGAGCCAGAUAUGGCCUUACCAUGAGUGUCAAGCUAGCCAGACUGGAGCAGCAGGAGCAAGAGUUCAUGGCAAAGUAUGGCAAGAAAAACCAACUAGCGGGUGCAACACCAGAUAGCGUCACUACCCAGCCAGCUGCCCAGAUCCCCGAGGAUGAACUGAAGGAUGAGACCCGGGGGGGGAGGAAGAGUCACUGAGGACACCCGUGAGAAUGUGGCUGAAGAGAAUGCUGAUUCUGCUGUCGUCUCCAGAAGUACCAACAUGGAAAUAAAGGGAAGUUCAAAGGAGAACACUGGAAAGGUGGCAGUGGUUCCUGUAGAGGAAGAACUAUUAUCUUCUGUGGAAGAUAAUACAACAGACAACGCUCAGCCAACCAAGAGGAAACGUUCAAAACAGAGGAAGGUGUUGGAAGAGGGCGAGAGCUGUCAUCUAAAUGGAGAGGUGUGAAACUGCUGUCAUUUCUAUAGGUAGUUAAGCCGGAGGUGGCUGUGAAGAGGCUUCAGAGGGAGAAGGUGCCACUCAGCAACAGACUGACUCAGACACUACUACCAAGAAGAAGUCCUCCAAGAACAGAGGUGGCUAUGGUGGCUGGGGAGAUGGAACACUCUGAUAGAGAAACCAACAAAUCGGAACCUGGUGGACUCCCCUCCAAAAGAGAAAAAGAAACGGGAUGUACCAAUGGAGGAAGUGAGAACUGUGUAGGAGGAACCUAAAAUAAAAGGUAAAAAUAAAAAAUGCAAGGAGGACAAGCAGACAGUAGAGGACAGGUUGCAUGAUGUAUCGGACUCCAUACCUCUAAAAAAAUAGAAGAAAGCUAAACAACAGGAACCAGAUUGAUGAGGACUAGUUGGAGAGGAAACGGGUCAG
Oncorhynchus keta (chum salmon) is the source of this 1951-nucleotide long non-coding RNA. RefSeq lists it as uncharacterized. The transcript is spliced from 5 exons. The record is from RefSeq and is a predicted model, not a curated record. Lineage: Eukaryota; Metazoa; Chordata; Actinopteri; Salmoniformes; Salmonidae.